AUGUUAGAACAAAAUCUUAGUAUCCUCAACUGGAAUGUACGAGGUUUAAAUUGCCCAAACCGUCGAGCAACCAUCAGAGAAACGAUCACUGCUACUCCAUGCCACAUAGUCUGUCUACAAGAGACCAAACUGGAGCUCGUCGACCCGGUCGUCGCUUCAUUCCUUGGUGGCCACAAACUAAAGAACUUUGCCCAGCGCCCAGCCAUUGGCACCCGCGGUGGUAUCCUACUGCUAUGGGACGAGAGUGUCGUAGAUGUGAAGGGUGUGAGCAUUGGCACCUUCUACCUCUCCUGCAAUGUCACGAUUGUCUCCUCGGCCACAACCUUCAAGCUCACCACCGUUUAUGGUCUGACGAGAAGCAAUCUUAAGGAAGCCUUCUUCCAAGAGUUGAUUAAUGAGAAGCCCCCCUAUGCAAAAUGGUUGGUCGGCGGCGAUUUUAAUCAAAUCCACCAUGCGCAAGACAAGAAUAAUACAAAUGUCAACCGGAGUCGUAUUGUUCGCUUCAGAAAUGCACUUAAUCUUUGCGAGCUCAAAGAGAUCCACUUGCAAAACAGAAAAUACACCUGGAGUAAUGAGCAGAGCAACCCAACUCUCAGCAAACUCGACUCUUUCUUCUGCAAUGAGGAUUGGGACCUAGACUUUCACACACACAUCCUUCAUGCCCUCUCGUCAUCCUUAUCGGACCACUGCCCUCUCCUCCUUGCAAAUGACAAAGGUCCGCAGAGGUCAAAGCCCUUCCGCUUCGAAAACUUUUGGAUCAAAAUGCCCAGUUUUAAAGAUGUAGUCCAGGGAGCUUGGAGCAACAAUUUUGGUCAUUCUAACUCAUACCUCAACCUCUCUCACAAGCUCAAAGAAGCAGGCAAAAAAUUAAGGAAGUGGAGCAGGACGAUGUUCGCACACUCGAAGGUGCAAAUUCAUAUGGCCCUCGAAGUUAUUCUCUGCCUGGAUGUGGCUCAGGAUCUUCGCCCCCUUAGUGCCAGCGAGCGAGAUCUUCGAAAGAGACUUAAGCAGAAAGUGGUAGGCCUUGCUGUUCUCGAGCGGGCGCGGAAAAGACAAAGCUCAAGAAUUACGAGCUUGAAAGACGGUGAUGCC
RNAcentral lists this ribosomal RNA (1092 nucleotides) under Triticum aestivum (bread wheat). RNAcentral describes it as "partial small subunit ribosomal RNA". Lineage: Eukaryota; Viridiplantae; Streptophyta; Magnoliopsida; Poales; Poaceae. The record is from RNAcentral.